AGUGAACGCUGGCGGUAGGCCUAACACAUGCAAGUCGAACGGCAGCACAGUAAGAGCUUGCUCUUACGGGUGGCGAGUGGCGGACGGGUGAGGAAUACAUCGGAAUCUACUUUUUCGUGGGGGAUAACGUAGGGAAACUUACGCUAAUACCGCAUACGACCUACGGGUGAAAGCAGGGGAUCUUCGGACCUUUCGCGAUUGAAUGAGCCGAUGUCGGAUUAGCUAGUUGGCGGGGUAAAGGCCCACCAAGGCGACGAUCCGUAGCUGGUCUGAGAGGAUGCUCAGCCACACUGGAACUGAGACACGGUCCAGACUCCUACGGGAGGCAGCAGUGGGGAAUAUUGGACAAUGGGCGCAAGCCUGAUCCAGCCAUACCGCGUGGGUGAAGAAGGCCUUCGGGUUGUAAAGCCCUUUUGUUGGGAAAGAAAAGCAGCAGGUUAAUACCCCGCUGUUCUGACGGUACCCAAAGAAUAAGCACCGGCUAACUUCGUG
This 492-nucleotide ribosomal RNA is filed under the name uncultured bacterium. RNAcentral describes it as "partial 16S ribosomal RNA". It matches the Rfam family "Bacterial small subunit ribosomal RNA", at positions 29 to 507 of the family's 1533-position model. The record is from RNAcentral.